UUAUACUCUUAGCUGCUGUUUCAAUUAAUAAAUAUAUAUUUAUUUGUAAUAAAUAAACGUACUAAUAAUAUGUAAAUUGUAUUUAAUAACAAAAAAAGAAAUAAAUUUAAGUUUUAUUAUUAGAAUGUGGUAUUGUAGAAGCGAUCUUAUCGUAUGUCAUUGUUAUUGAAUGUGAAACUACGUCGUUUAUCAUUUUUUCGUAGAAAGUAAAGAGUCAUUGUUAUUUUAUUUCUCGUUCUACGAUACAUAUUUUAUUUUAUAUAAAAACAUGUGGCCGUUUUUACUUUCGAUAUUUGCCCUAUUUCACUUAGCUUCAGCAUCAGGUAGUUUUGAUUUUGGUGAUACAUUAGCAUUAAUCUUGGGUCUGAUUAUUGGAAUUAUGGGAUUUUUUGCUUGCAUGGGAGCUUAUGCAAGACGACGAAAUCAUUUUGAAUCUUUGUGAUCAUGGAAAAGAUAUUUAAGUAAAAUUUAUGGAUAUAAGAAAUAUUUAAAACUAUACAGGAUUCUAUAUUAGAAAUGUUUAAAAGGAAGAUCACAUUGUAUAUAUAUAUAUAUUAAAACAAGUAUCAAGAAAAUAUUGAAAAUUAAUUAUAAAAUGAUUAAUUAUUUGAUUAUAUUGGAAAAUUGAUUUUUGGAAUAGUAGUAGCAAAAAAUAUUGUACAAUGUAUAAGAGAAUGUAAAAAAUAUUUGUUUUGUAAUCAUUUUCUUUAUUCAUUUAUUUACUUUCCUCAUCAAGGUUACAACUGCUUUGACUUUGAUCCUUUAGCACAGACAUUUUUUCUUAUUUACCGUACAUGUGCAAAAGAAUGCACUUAUUAUGAUAUUAUAAUAACUAUUUCUUGUUUCUGUAUUUUCUUUAUCAUAGUACAAACAUUAUGAGCAUGUAAUAAAACAGACAUGGAUCAAAUCAAUAGGAACGCAAUAUAGUAAAAAAUAAUUGUCAGGGAUUCCUUUAUCUAUUCAAAGUAAUAUCAAUCAUUGAAUAGCAUAUUAAACUAUAAUUACUGCAUGUUACAGAAUAUAAUUUGUAAUUACUAAUGAUCAAAUAUAUACUAUAUAUUAACAAAUUAAAAAUAAAUGAAUAAUAUUGAUGAAAUUAAUAAAGCGUUUAAAAUUUUGUCAUAGGUUAUAAUUUCAAAAUAUCAACAUUAUUUCAGUAAAGAACAUAUUAACUAAAUCACAUUUUUUUUAUGUAGAUUUUGUAAUACUAUAAGCUAUCAAUAAAAAGAAGGUAUAAACUGCAAUUAAUAAAACUUGCAACAGCUUUAUAAAAGAAACCAAAGCUUAUUUGUUCUACACCUUCUAUAUCCGGUUAAAUAUUAUGAUCUAAAACAAAGUUAUUGUAACUUCGUUAUUUAUUUUCCUAAGUGAUUGGAAAUGCGAUUUCAGAUGUACUACACUGCACUAAAAUGAGAGCAAUAUGUAAGAAGCUCUUUUAAAAUGUAAAAAUAUUAAAAUAUUGCAAUAUUUUAAUAUAUUAUAUUGUUUUAUCACAAGUAAAAGAUAAAUAUGACAAAAAGGAUCAUUUGCACAUUUUCAAGUUUAGAAAUUUUGAAAUGUGUUUAGAGCAAAGAUUUGUAAAAAUUGAUAUCAACGUAUAACAUAGACGAAUAAUGAUAAGUAUUUCUUAUCUAACUUGCAAAAAUCUGGCACUUUCAAAAAGAGUAAGGAAAUAUUUAAAAACACAUUUUCACAGCUGUAUUUCUCUACAUUUUGCUUUAAUAUUUUUCAUUUAUGAUAUUUUUUACAUGUGUUCUCACAUUCCUCAUUCUUUUUGGGUUGAUGACUUUUAUAUAUUUUUGGUUUAUUUCCUCACUUAAGAACAAUAUGUAAAAUUCAACGCAAUAUCACUGAAAUUAAAUUUACAUAAGUUUUAAACUGCAUUAAAUUGAAAGAUGUAUUUGCUGCAAUUCUUAUUCUGUCAAUCAUAUGUAAUUCAAUAUUCACAUUCAUCAGUUUAGUUUUUAUAUUUCUAAGAAUUAUGCAAUCUAAACAUAAAAAUAAUGUUCAUUUAUGGAUUAAUGAAUAUGUUCAUUACUUUCUUGCAGAUCUACAAUGCAUUACGCUAAUACCGUAAAUUAUAAUAUAAACGGAAGUUGAUCCGCCUGUUUUUCACGGAAGAGAAUCAGUAUUUCUUACACCAAGAGAUUAUUAAUUACUAGUUUAUCAUGUUUUGAAAUGUUUACUCUAAUCUUGUGUAAUAUUAUUACAAUCCAAUACAUAUACACAUGUAUGUGUAUCAAUAAAAUAAAGAACUAGCAGAAAUGAAAA
Molecule: long non-coding RNA, 2271 nt
Organism: Vespa crabro (European hornet)
Lineage: Eukaryota; Metazoa; Arthropoda; Insecta; Hymenoptera; Vespidae
Exons: 2
Source: RefSeq, a predicted model, not a curated record